GAAUGUUCGUGGAGAGAUUGACACUGAAAUCAAUCAAGAUUUUCCAAAAAAUUCCCAUUUAGUGUCUUGAAGCAUGCAUUAACGAAACAUUAAGGCUCCAUCCUCCUGCACCUUUGCUGCUUCCCCACCGGGCGAUUGAGACCUGCCAAGUAAUGAAUUACACAGUACCAAAAUAUGCUCAAGUAAUCAUCAAUGUUUGGUCUAUUGGGCGUGAUCCAUCUUUAUGGGAUGAGCCACUUAAGUUCAGACCAGAGAGAUUUCUUACCUCGUCUUUGGAUUUUAAAGGAAACAACUUUGAAUUCUUACCAUUUAGUGCAGGAAGGAGGAUCUGCCCUGGCUUUCCCAUGGCUGCAAAGACUGUUCCAUUGAUUCUUGCCUCUUUGAUAUAUUUUUUCGACUGGUCUCUUCCACAUGGAA
This 417-nucleotide long non-coding RNA is filed under the name Olea europaea (common olive). RNAcentral's name for it is "long non-coding RNA (OEUR_LNC008310)". Lineage: Eukaryota; Viridiplantae; Streptophyta; Magnoliopsida; Lamiales; Oleaceae. The record is from RNAcentral.